GACGAACGCUGGCGGCGUGCUUAACACAUGCAAGUCGAACGGAAAGGCCCUGCUUUUGUGGGGUGCUCGAGUGGCGAACGGGGGAGUAACAGGUAAGUAACCUGCCCUUGACUUUGGGAUAACUUCAGGAAACUGGGGCUAAUACCGGAUAGGAGCUCCCGCUGCAUGGUGGGGGGUGGAAAGUUUCGGCGGGUGGGGAUGGACGCGCGGCUGAUCAGCUUGUUGGUUGGGUAGUGGCUUACCAAGGAUUUGACGGGUAGCCGGCCUGAGAGGGUGACCGGCGACAUGGGGACUGAGAUACGGCCCAGACUCCUAUGGGAGGCAGCAGUGGGGAGUAUUGUACAAUGGGCGGAAGCCUGAUGCAGAAACGCCGCGUGCGGGAUGACGGCUUGCGGGUUGUAAACCGCUUUAGCCUGUGACGCAGCGUGAGUGACGGUAAUGGGUAAAGAAGCACCGGCUAACUACGUG
RNAcentral lists this ribosomal RNA (468 nucleotides) under uncultured bacterium. RNAcentral's name for it is "partial 16S ribosomal RNA". It matches the Rfam family "Bacterial small subunit ribosomal RNA", at positions 28 to 507 of the family's 1533-position model. The record is from RNAcentral.